This 253-nucleotide ribosomal RNA is filed under the name uncultured bacterium. RNAcentral's name for it is "partial 16S ribosomal RNA". It matches the Rfam family "Bacterial small subunit ribosomal RNA", at positions 524 to 776 of the family's 1533-position model. The record is from RNAcentral.
UACAGAGGGGGCAAGCGUUAUUCGGAAUUAUUGGGCGUAAAGGGCGCGUAGGCGGCUUGGCAAGUGGAUGGUGAAAUCCCUCGGCUUAACCGAGGAACGGCCGUCCAAACUGCUUCGCUUGAGACCGGGAGAGGUGAGUGGAAUUCCCAGUGUAGCGGUGAAAUGCGUAGAUAUUGGGAGGAACACCAGUGGCGAAGGCGGCAUCCUGGACCAACACUGACACUGAGGAGCGAAAGCCAGGGGAGCAAACGGG